AAUUUUUCAAAAAGUCAAAUAGAUUAAAAUUAUAUUUUUUGUUGUUAAAAAUAAUAAUAUAAAAUCCUCAAAGACAAUCCAGAUCAUUGCAGUAGUUAAUGAAAAAGGUGACCUUGAAGAAACCUUCACCUGUUGCGAAGUUCGGCGAUGUGGGCGUUUUGCGUCCAGGAGCAGGGUUUGAUGAUGAACUGUUAUACUUGGAGGCGGCUAUGCUUGUAACGGAGUUUUAUAUUUGUAUAUGGAGCCUGUAUACGAAGCGUAUUUUGGACAUCAAGGCGAAAAUAUCACGUUGCAGAAGGAAAAGGGAAAGGUGCAAUUAACCGGUACGUGCUGGCCGGGCGGGUUGUGCGUCAAUUUGAACCACCGAUCCCGUUGUUUUUGGCUACCUGAUCGACGCGCAGGUUCCCACAACCUGAGUCACUGGCUCCCUGUAAUCUAAAGCCGCCGAUCAUUCUUAAUAUCGUCAUGAGCGAAGAAGUAACUCCAUAGUGACACUCCGAUGUAGGUAAACCUACGGUGGCGGAUCAGACAUAAUGAGUCAAAAACAGAGGUGAUUCUGUUCACUCGCAGAAGGCCUAAUGUUGACUGUUUUGUGACAAUAAAUGGAAGGUGUAUUCCAUGGAAAAUAGAAGUGAAGUAUCUCGGUUUGAUGCUGGACUCAAAGCUCACGUUCACCAAGCACAUCAACACGGUAUGCGAUAGAGGAGUGGCUCUGAUCUGCAAUUUAUUUCCAUUGAUAAAUAGACACACUGAUCUGAGUACAUUUAAUAAAAAGUUAAUUUAUUAUUUGUAUAUUCGACCCAUGCUGUUGUAUGCGGCUCCUGUCUGGUCUAAUACAUGUAUCACCAACUACAGGAAGUUGCAGGUUGUGCAGAACAAAUGCUUGAGACUGAUUGGUUCCUUUUACAGGUGGACGCCAAUAGACUACAUGCAUUCAGUAUUGGAGGUGACUAGUGUCUCUACACAAGCCCACAGUAUAACAUCAAGAUUUUGCAAAGCUUGUGAACUUAGUGAAUACACUAAUAUUAGAAAUGUUGUUAACUAUGAAGCUGCCUCCUUGCAGACACUUUACAAAAAAUAUAAGUACAAAAGAGUGAAGCACAUUUUGCUGUAAAUUAACCAUAUAAGAUCAGGUAUAUAGGCAGAAAGCCUGAAGCCAGUCUUUUAAUUUCUUUUGUAAAUACUGUAUAUAUUUUGUAAAUAAAAAUAAAUUUCAAAUUU
RNAcentral lists this long non-coding RNA (1221 nucleotides) under Cimex lectularius (bed bug). Its description in RNAcentral is "uncharacterized LOC106668792, transcript variant X1". The record is from RNAcentral. Lineage: Eukaryota; Metazoa; Arthropoda; Insecta; Hemiptera; Cimicidae.